UUAAUAAAUUAAUUACCCAAUUGGCUAGUAUUGGUGUGAAAGUUGAUGAAGAAGAUAAAGCCCUCUUGCUUUUAACCUCUCUUCCACACUCUUUUAAAAGCUUGGUAACAGCUCUAACAGUUGGGAAUGAGACUUUGAAGGUAGAGGAGGUUACCGCAGUUAUCUUUGAUGAUAAAAAGUUCAAGAAGACAUAUAGUAGCAAUAAAGGUGGAGCUUUUAUUGCUGGUUCUAAUCAUGGUAGAAGCAAUUCACAUGGAAAUAAUUUAAGAAAGAAUAGUAGAUCGAGUUCGAGACCACGAGUAGACCAUGAAGAUAGAGAAUGGUACUACUGUCAUGAGAAGGGUCACAUUCAAUACCAUUGUAUGAAGAUGAAGGAAAAUCUUAUAGAAUUAAAACAAUUCAAGAAGAGUCGUGAA
Molecule: unclassified non-coding RNA, 416 nt
Filed under: Hevea brasiliensis (rubber tree)
Lineage: Eukaryota; Viridiplantae; Streptophyta; Magnoliopsida; Malpighiales; Euphorbiaceae
Source: RNAcentral